UGUAUACAAUUACAAUUUUAAAUUAUUUUUAUUUCUAGCUAAGAUGGGCAUGUUGCAGUUAUGACAGUUAUAAAUUUUAUCUUAGUAAUAUCUCAGUGAUAUUAAGAUUGGAUUUGCUUAAUAUUUCUUUCAAAAUACAGUAUGAAAAGUUAUGAAUGGGGCUUAGUUUAAAUGCAAGGAAGGAGCUAAACUAAUCUUGACAUUUAUUAGGUAUGAAAAGUAAUGAAUGGGACUUAGUUGAAAUGCAAGAAAGGAGCUAAACUAAUCUUGACAUUUAUUAGGUAUGAAAAGUUAUGAAAGGGACUUAGUUGAAAUGCAAGAAAGGAGCUAAACUAAUCUUGACAUUUAUUAGGUAUGAAAAGUUAUGAAUGUGGCUUAGUUGAAAUGCAAGGAAGGAGCUAAACUAAUCUUGACAUUUAUUAGGUAUGAAAAGUUAUGAAUGGGACUUAGUUGAAAUGCAAGGAAGGAGCUAAACUAAUCUUGACAUUUAUUAGGUAUGAAAAGUUAUGAAUGUGGCUUAGUUGAAAUGCAAGGAAGGAGCUAAACUAAUCUUGACAUUUAUUAGGUAUAAAAAGUUAUGAAUGUGGCUUAGUUGAAAUGCAAAGAAGGAGCUAAACUGAUCUUGACAUUUAUUAGUUCAGGUGGACCAGACUGUAGCAAGAUCUAUGAGCCUAUGUAACUUUAAGACCUCUGAUCGUCCCCUAAAAAUGGAUUCAAUUCUUCCACUCUACAGUUUUUUCUCUGGCAGUGAAAUCUAUCGUGGACUGAUUUCACCGUAUUGACCUACUGUCCCUGAAGUGACCAGGGUUUCCCUAUAAAAUGCUCCGACAUCAAAGGGUAGUGAAUGGAUCGUUCAAUGAGGUCCAUCUUCUCGCUUAGACAGCCUGUUCUACAUUAUGCGUUCAGAUUGUAAAGAAUAGUUACACGUUUUUUAAAUCACAGUUUUUUUUAAGUUUUGAAUUUCAAGUAGUUGAUUAUGGAGUGAAAUAAGGAAAUAAUUAUUUAUACAGAUAAAAAACUUUUUUUAAGUGAAAUAAAAAUAUCUGUUUUGUA
This is a long non-coding RNA of Argiope bruennichi, 1053 nucleotides long. RefSeq lists it as uncharacterized. Lineage: Eukaryota; Metazoa; Arthropoda; Arachnida; Araneae; Araneidae. The record is from RefSeq and is a predicted model, not a curated record. The transcript has 9 exons.